Molecule: RNA transcript, 1531 nt
Organism: Cebus imitator (Panamanian white-faced capuchin)
Lineage: Eukaryota; Metazoa; Chordata; Mammalia; Primates; Cebidae
Gene name: solute carrier family 2, facilitated glucose transporter member 3-like
Exons: 1
Source: RefSeq, a predicted model, not a curated record
UGUAAUGGUGAGAGUUCAGAGCGUUCCUGAGGACCUGGAGAAGAUUUGCUGAUAAGAAUGACAUUUUGAAGGUUUUUGUUUUUUUUUUUUUUUUUUGGCUGAAAAAGGUGUCUCUGGAAUCACACUCCUAGAUCUUUCUUGAAGACUUGAAAAGAAUUAGAUUAGGGCCAUGGGGACACAGAAGGUCACCCCCAUUCUGAUCGUUGCCAUUACAGUUGCUACAAUCGGCUCUUUCCAAUUUGGCUACAACACUGGGGUCAUUAAUACUCCUGAGAUGAUCAUAAAGGAAUUUGUCAAUAACACUUUGAAGAACAAGAAAAAUGCCUCUCCCUCUGAGAUGUUGCUCGCGACCCUCUGGUCCUUGUCUGUGGCCACAUUCUCCGUUGGUGGUAUGGUCGGCUCCUUUUCCAUCGAACACUUUGUCAACCACUUUGGCAGGUGCAAUUCAAUGCUGAUCGUCAGCCUGCUGGCUGUCACUGGUGGCUGCCUUAUGGGCUUGUGUGAAGCAGCUGAGUCGGCUGAAAUGCUGAUACUGGGCUGCCUGGUUAUUGGCGUCUUCUGUGGACUGUGCACAGGCUUUGUGCCCAUGUACAUUGGAGAGAUCUCGCCUAUUGCCCUGCGGGGUGCCUUUGGCCCUCUCAACCAGCUGGGCAUUGUUGUCGGAAUUCUGGUGGCCCAGGUCUUUGGUCCGGCAUUCAUCACUGGGUCUGAAGCUCUAUGGCUGCUGUUACUGAGCUUUACCAUCCUUCCUGCCAUCCUACAAAGUACAGCCCUUCCAUUUUGCCCUGAAAGUCCCAGAUUUUUGCUCAUUGACAGAAAAGAAGAGGAGAAUGCUAAGCAGAUCCUCCAGUGGUUGUGGGGCACCCAGGAUGUAUCCCAACAUCCAGGAGAUGAAAGAUGAGAGUGCAAGGAUGUCACAAGAAAAGCAGGUCACCGUGCUGGAGCUCUGUAGAGUAUCCAGCUGCCGACAGCCCAUCACCAUCUCCAGCGUGCUCCAGCUCUCUCAGCAGCUCUCUGGGACCAAUGCUGCGUUCUGUUACUCCACAGGAAUCUUCAAGGAUGCAGGGGUUCAAGAACCCAUCUUUUUGUUCCAUACUCAUGACUGUUUCUUUGUUAUUAAAGGACGACUAUAAUGGGAUGAGCCUUGUCUGUAUUGGGGCUAUCUUGCUCUUUGUGGCCUUCUUUGAAAUUGGACCAGGCCCCAUGUGGCCGAACUCACCAGCCAUGGCCCCUGCCCAGCUGCAAUGGCAGUGGCCGGCUGCUCCAACUGGACCUCCAACUUCCUAGUCGGAUUGCUCUUCCCCUCUGCUCUUACAAUUUGGGAGCCUACAUUUUUAUUAUCUUCACCCGCUUCCUCAUUACCUUCUUGACCUUUACCUUCUUCAAAGUCCCUGAGACCCGCGGCAGGACUUUUGAGGAUCUUACGUGGGCCUUUGAAGGGCAGGCACAUGGUGCAGCUUGAUCCAGGAAGGAAGGCGUCGUGGAGAGGAACAGCAUCCAGCCUGCCAAGGAGACCACCACGAAUGUCUAA